UUUCAGAAGCUCACAGAUGUGCUGCUAUCCAGUCUCUAUGUGAAAAUCCAUACUAAAUUAUUGUGUGAUCAUAUUGAUAAUUGGAUUGAUGUUUAUAAUGCUUGGAUUGGGACUCAAUAUCACAUCUUCUUGAAUGGUUGAAGAUGA
Molecule: ribosomal RNA, 147 nt
Filed under: Triticum aestivum (bread wheat)
Lineage: Eukaryota; Viridiplantae; Streptophyta; Magnoliopsida; Poales; Poaceae
Description: partial small subunit ribosomal RNA
Source: RNAcentral